UGAUAUAGCUCAGUUGGUAGAGCAGCUCAUUCGUAAUGAGCAGGUCGUAGGUUCGAAUCCUAUUAUCA
RNAcentral lists this transfer RNA (68 nucleotides) under human gut metagenome. It matches the Rfam family "tRNA". From Rfam's summary of the family: Transfer RNA (tRNA) molecules are approximately 80 nucleotides in length. Their secondary structure includes four short double-helical elements and three loops (D, anti-codon, and T loops). Further hydrogen bonds mediate the characteristic L-shaped molecular structure. tRNAs have two regions of fundamental functional importance: the anti-codon, which is responsible for specific mRNA codon recognition, and the 3' end, to which the tRNAs corresponding amino acid is attached (by aminoacyl-tRNA synthetases). tRNAs cope with the degeneracy of the genetic code in two manners: having more than one tRNA (with a specific anti-codon) for a particular amino acid; and 'wobble' base-pairing, i.e. permitting non-standard base-pairing at the 3rd anti-codon position. The record is from RNAcentral.